RNAcentral lists this ribosomal RNA (434 nucleotides) under uncultured bacterium. RNAcentral's name for it is "partial 16S ribosomal RNA". It matches the Rfam family "Bacterial small subunit ribosomal RNA", at positions 29 to 507 of the family's 1533-position model. The record is from RNAcentral.
AACGAACGCUGGCGGCAUGCCUAACACAUGCAAGUCGAACGAGACCUUCGGGUCUAGUGGCGCACGGGUGCGUAACGCGUGGGAACCUGCCCUUAGGUUCGGAAUAACUCCCCGAAAAGGGGUGCUAAUACCGGAUAAUGUCUUCGGACCAAAGAUUUAUCGCCUUUGGAUGGGCCCGCGUUGGAUUAGCUAGUUGGUAGGGUAAAAGCCUACCAAGGCGACGAUCCAUAGCUGGUCUGAGAGGAUGAUCAGCCACACUGGGACUGAGACACGGCCCAGACUCCUACGGGAGGCAGCAGUGGGGAAUAUUGGACAAGGGGCGAAAGCCUGAUCCAGCAAUGCCGCGUGAGUGAUGAAGGCCUUAGGGUUGUAAAGCUCUUUUACCCGGGAUGAUAAUGACAGUACCGGGAGAAUAAGCUCCGGCUAACUCCGUG